This is a long non-coding RNA of Gasterosteus aculeatus aculeatus (three-spined stickleback), 2550 nucleotides long. Lineage: Eukaryota; Metazoa; Chordata; Actinopteri; Perciformes; Gasterosteidae. The record is from Ensembl.
GCUGAUUAAACAAAAAUGUGGUUCAUGUGGUUACGCCUUCUGCAAACAGCACAGAUCAGCUUUCGUUUUGGAUGGUUGUGACACGUCGCAGCCUUUCACAGAGAGUAUCUGUACAACCAGUUCUGGAGUACUCGUAUACGGAGCGAUUCACACAUACUCCCUCACGGAAAUGCACUAACUGGGUAGUUUACUUGUUGAGAAGCCUAGGUUCACAAAACUCAAGACGUCCAAGCCGCGUGUGAGUCCCCCUGAGGAGAACGUGGAUCGGCCGUGGGUAAUUGCCACAGUGGUCCUGGGUGUGGUCCUGAGUGUGGUCCUGAGUGUGGUCCUGGUGGUUGGAGGGAUCAUCUUUUGGUGCCGGAGAUCCCGCAGACCAGAGGCCUCACCCGAAUCCCCAGAUGAGGAAAUUCAUCUUCAACCUCCAGUUAAUGGACGGUUCGAGUCCCGGCUGCCCGAUGUCCCAAGUCGAAGUGUCCCUGAGCAAGACACCUAACCCCUAAUUAUUACUGUAUGUCGCUUUGGAUAAAAGCUCCAGCUAAAUGACAUGUAAUGUGAUGUAAAAAUGUGUCUGCGGGCGAGAGGAGGUCGGUUCAACAAACCUCGUUGCUGCAUUAAAAUCAUUUUUAGUUUAUUUGUAAUUACUGUUCUUUGUGAAGAUAUUUCACUAAGUCGCUGUAUUAUUAUUUAAAUAUAGUUAAUAGCAAGUUCAGUUCAAUUUGUCUGUCCAAUCAUUUGUUAAUUAAAUUUCAACAAAUAAAGAAAUGUUUAAAUCAAGCCUGAUGUUGUAAAGAUCUCACUCCAUGCAGCAUAAAGCUUAUAAAACACUCGAUCGGUGUUUGAUGCUGCGAGAUGCAUGUAAAACAUGGUGUAACAUUUGUCUUGUGCUAAACCCGGGUCUCAAGUCUGUAUUUGACCGUGAUGUGCAGAGACCAACUCGGGGGGGAUCGGAGAUCCCGACAAUAUUCUAUCGACAUUAUCAAACAAGCCGCAAGUAAAUGUGAAUACGCGCAUUUACAAAAUGUACAUUUUAUACAAAUGAGGCCACAAAUGGGCUGUAGCCGAAAUACACAUUAAAGCAGUUCUAUCAGAGGGAUUUAGUAAACUGUGCCGUGAUACAAAGGAUCCACACACACACACACACACACACAUGCAGGGAUGAUAACUGUUCCCACUUGCAAAUGUCCUGCAGCCGAGGAUGCAAAGUGGCACCUCGCACACAACUUACUGUCUGACCUUAUUGUCCUCGACCACACUGCCUGAUCGUGUUUGUUAGACUCACAAUACGUUCAUGUGUCAAUUAUCUGAUGGUUAUAAAAGUACAGUAAAAUAAUUGAUGAAUCAGAGAUGGCCUAUAUUGGCAUCCAUCCCACGAUUAUUCUUCUCAACAUCUCUGCACUGAAAAAACAUGUGGAGUGCGAUUUACUUAAUAAAACUUAGGAAAGUUUUUGCACUUGUGGUGGUGGUGGUUGGUGUGGGGGGGUCUAAGGCCCCCCGUGCUCAGAUACUUGAAGACGUGCCGCUCCAGAUGCCGCUGCCACCCAGAUGUAUUGUAUAUUGUGUCGUCAUUACACCAGUGUUGGGAUGAUUUAACCCUCCUUUCGGUUUCGCCCGGCUUGUUGCUUCGCUUGCCGGCUGCUCACCGUGACUUUAAGACCGUCUGUCUGCUGGUGUGCUGUGGCCUGCUGAUGCCGCUCUAGUCCUCCUUUGGAGAAAUUUACUGUAGCACAAUUUUCUAUUCAAUCCGUUUUAGUACAAUUUAUUCAUCUCUGGAGUUUCUUCAAGUCUACCCAAAGAUUUUUUUAACAUCACAUUUCAACAUCAACAGCUGGCAGUUGUUGUACACCUGCUAUUAAAAAAUGCUUUUGAGUAAUUAUUAAUAAUCAUUUUGGAUAUUUAGUGCAAAUAAUAUUCAAUAAGACCAUUGUUAGCUAUACUUGAGCUUUUGUUACUUAUUCAAAACUGAAGACAGGAAGGAAGGAAAUACAAAUGUAGGGCUUUAAAUCUGCUCUGCUCUAAGCGUGAUGUUUAACAAAUGAAUGCACAGAAAAUGAACUGUCUUGUUAUUUAUUGAAAUAAUAAUACAUGUACACCAGCGACUUUGUGAAUCAUCUUAAAAAAGAACAGGAAUUACAAGUUACAAGUAAACAUUAUUUUAGCGUUAUUUUACGGUAAAAUACCACAAAUGGCGUUUGCACUAUGUUACUGUAAAAUGGAUUACUGUAUGUUACCAUAAACUUGAACGAAUUUGACUGUGAAUUAACUGCAAUUUACUGGCAGUUGACACUAGUAAUUUACUGUUUUAUUUACCGUGCCCUACCGUAAUUUACGGUAUGUUGUUGUAUAUUGGAUUACAGUUUGUUACCAUACGAUUACUGUUUUUGUGUUAUAAAUACCAGAAUGUCAAUGUCAAUUUUAUUUAUACAGCACUUUUAAAGGCCAGUGGCCAGCCAAAGUGCUUUACAGGAUAAAAAACAAUCAGCAUCAAUAAAACAAUACGAAGAAACGUAAAACAAACAAAAAAAAAAAAAAAAAAAAAAUGAACAGUAAAAG